UAAUCUCACUACAACUACUUUAUUGUUGUUUGUAUGUGGAUCUGGAUGUUGCCGUGUAACAAACGGCUCGUCUGAAAUGCCUGAGUGUACCUGCUUUGCGGCGUAUUCGGUGUGAUAAAUCUUCACCGGAGUUGACUUUCGGGUCGCGUUCUGCUUAACACGGCUCUAUGCUUCCAACCGUCCUAACAAGACAACCUUUGACA
This 203-nucleotide unclassified non-coding RNA is filed under the name uncultured Sebacinales. Its description in RNAcentral is "sequence contains ITS2". Lineage: Eukaryota; Fungi; Basidiomycota; Agaricomycetes; Sebacinales. RNAcentral also lists the same sequence under 1 other name. The record is from RNAcentral.